Molecule: ribosomal RNA, 459 nt
Filed under: uncultured bacterium
Lineage: Bacteria
Description: partial 16S ribosomal RNA
Rfam family: Bacterial small subunit ribosomal RNA
Source: RNAcentral
CCUACGGGAGGCAGCAGUGAGGAAUCUUGGUCAAUGGCCGUAAGGCUGAACCAGCCAAGUAGCGUGAGGGAAGACUGCCCUAUGGGUUGUAAACCUCUUUUAUAAGGGAAUAAAGUGCGGGACGUGUCCCGUUUUGUAUGUACCUUAUGAAUAAGGAUCGGCUAACUCCGUGCCAGCAGCCGCGGUAAUACGGAGGAUGCGAGCGUUAUCCGGAUUUAUUGGGUUUAAAGGGUGCGCAGGCGGAGGUGCAAGUCAGUGGUCAAAUUGCGGGGCUCAACCCCGUACUGCCGUUGAAACUGCAUCCCUUGAGUGCGCGAGAAGUAUGCGGAAUGCGUGGUGUAGCGGUGAAAUGCAUAGAUAGCACGCAGAACUCCGAUUGCGAAGGCAGCAUACCGGCGCGCAACUGACGCUCAUGCACGAAAGCGUGGGUAUCGAACAGGAUUAGAUACCCCAGUAGUC